RNAcentral lists this ribosomal RNA (464 nucleotides) under uncultured Allobrachymonas sp. RNAcentral describes it as "bacterial SSU rRNA". It matches the Rfam family "Bacterial small subunit ribosomal RNA", at positions 916 to 1381 of the family's 1533-position model. The record is from RNAcentral. Lineage: Bacteria; Pseudomonadati; Pseudomonadota; Betaproteobacteria; Burkholderiales; Comamonadaceae.
GACGGGACCCGCACAAGCGGUGGAUGAUGUGGUUUAAUUCGAUGCAACGCGAAAACCUUACCCACCUUUGACAUGGCAGGAAUCCCGAAGAGAUUUGGGAGUGCUCGAAAGAGAACCUGCACACAGGUGCUGCAUGGCUGUCGUCAGCUCGUGUCGUGAGAUGUUGGGUUAAGUCCCGCAACGAGCGCAACCCUUGCCAUUAGUUGCUACGAAAGGGCACUCUAAUGGGACUGCCGGUGACAAACCGGAGGAAGGUGGGGAUGACGUCAAGUCCUCAUGGCCCUUAUAGGUGGGGCUGCACACGUCAUACAAUGGCCGGUACAGAGGGUAGCCAACCCGCGAGGGGGAGCCAAUCCCACAAAGCCGGUCGUAGUCCGGAUCGCAGUCUGCAACUCGACUGCGUGAAGUCGGAAUCGCUAGUAAUCGCGGAUCAGCAUGUCGCGGUGAAUACGUUCCCGGGUCUU